GAGUUUGAUCGUGGCUCAGAUUGAACGCUGGCGGCAUGCCUUACACAUGCAAGUCGAACGGCAGCAUGAUCUAGCUUGCUAGAUUGAUGGCGAGUGGCGAACGGGUGAGUAAUACAUCGGAACGUGCCCUGUAGUGGGGGAUAACUAGUCGAAAGAUUAGCUAAUACCGCAUACGACCUGAGGGUGAAAGUGGGGGACCGCAAGGCCUCAUGCUAUAGGAGCGGCCGAUGUCUGAUUAGCUAGUUGGUGGGUAAAGGCCCACCAAGGCGACGAUCAGUAGCUGGUCUGAGAGGACGAUCAGCCACACUGGGACUGAGACACGGCCCAGACUCCUACGGAGGGCAGCAGUGGGGAAUUUUGGACAAUGGGCGAAAGCCUGAUCCAGCAAUGCCGCGUGUGUGAAGAAGGCCUCGGUU
Molecule: ribosomal RNA, 416 nt
Filed under: uncultured microorganism
Description: bacterial SSU rRNA
Rfam family: Bacterial small subunit ribosomal RNA
Source: RNAcentral